RNAcentral lists this ribosomal RNA (252 nucleotides) under uncultured bacterium. RNAcentral's name for it is "partial 16S ribosomal RNA". It matches the Rfam family "Bacterial small subunit ribosomal RNA", at positions 524 to 776 of the family's 1533-position model. The record is from RNAcentral.
UACGUAGGGUGCGAGCGUUGUCCGGAUUUAUUGGGCGUAAAGCGCUCGCAGGUGGUCCGUCGCGUCGUGCGUGAAAUCCCCGGCUCAACCGGGGAAAUGCGCGUGAUACUGGCGGGCUUGAGAUCGGGAGGGGUGAAUGGAACUCCAGGUGGAGCGGUGAAAUGCGUAGAUAUCUGGAGGAACACCGGUGGCGAAAGCGGUUCACUGGCCCGACACUGACACUGAGGUGCGAAAGCUAGGGUAGCAAACGGG